RNAcentral lists this ribosomal RNA (301 nucleotides) under uncultured bacterium. RNAcentral's name for it is "partial 16S ribosomal RNA". It matches the Rfam family "Bacterial small subunit ribosomal RNA", at positions 509 to 807 of the family's 1533-position model. The record is from RNAcentral.
CAGUCGCCACGGGAAUACGGAGGGGGCUAGCGUUGUUCGGAAUUACUGGGCGUAAAGCGCACGUAGGCGGCUUGGUAAGUUAGAGGUGAAAGCCCGGAGCUCAACUCCGGAAUUGCCUUUAAGACUGCCGAGCUAGUAGGUGAGAGAGGUAAGUGGAAUUCCGAGUGUAGAGGUGAAAUUCGUAGAUAUUCGGAAGAACACCAGUGGCGAAGGCGGCUUACUGGCUCAUACUGGACGCUGAGGUGCGAAAGCGUGGGGAGCAAACAGGAUUAGAUACCCGCGUAGUCCCUGUCUCUUAUAC